ACAAGCACUGGCUGAUCGGCCACCUGCACAGAAAUUAAAUCAUCUAACACACAAAGAUUCACAAACAACAUGAGGGCUUUCUGACCUCUCACUAAAUUUAUCUACCAUACUUAAAGGCCAAAGUUGGAGAUGUUUAUAGAAACCAACAGGAAACUAGACACUAUGGUUAGUGGCAGCUGAUGGGGAAGAUGAGCAGCCUCGGUGAAGUGUUCUUUACUAGUUUGAAAACGUAAACAGAAAGCAAAGUGACCACCGUCCUGUCCAAAGAAGCACAACAAACACCCUGCUGAAUAAAGACCUGUUUUCCUGUCGAAGUUCUUGUUGUUGAUGAUGAUGCACUGGCCGAUGCUGGGAAAAUCCAGGCUGUAUCUGAAGCUGUGGGAGUGGGACUUGGCAUCCACGUCCAUGGGGUCAACGGAAGACCCAUCUGACCUGAAGGAUGGCAACAACAGAACACGGUCCAUAUAAUAUAAUAACAAGCUAAAUCAAUGCUGUGCAGACAUUCACUCAAUGAUAAAAAACUAAGUUAGUGUAAACAGUGUGCGAGUUAAUAUGAGAAUAGCAGAAAUAUUGACAAUGAACCGCACCGCUGUCUGCUAACAACCCACAACAAUGGAGACAGCUAACUAGCUAAACAAACCCUGACUCACCGCUGCCCGCCGCUUUGCUUCGCGUCUGUAGAGUCCUCUCCACUUCCAGGCCCAUUAACCGACAUCUUUGAGAGUCGACUAGUUAACCGCAAAACAACAGUCAAAUUACACGCCCUGUGUGUUAAACAGUAGCCUUCACAGACAACCGAAACAGAGGAAGCAGAGGAUGAGGCGAGUCAGCUAAAGUGCGAGUGAGCUGAGCUGAGGAGAGGAGUCGGGGAGAGGAGUGGAGAUCGGCGCGUAAACAAAGAUGCUGACGUCACUUUGAGAUACGCUCGUUUCAAACACCGAACAUUGCCGCUGAACGGAGCAGACUUGGCUGGCUAGCUCUUGACGCUCACAUGUAUGUAAACAAAUUAAAUUAAAUGUAUCGUCGUAUUUGAUACUUGCUUAUAUUUUUUGAAUGUAUUGGUUUUCUAGUGUUGUGAAAAGUGGGUUGAUUUGCUUUUCUUGUCCGUAACAUUUCAUUGCACAUGACAAAAUAAACGAUUAUUCUGAA
This is a long non-coding RNA of Solea senegalensis (Senegalese sole), 1149 nucleotides long. RefSeq lists it as uncharacterized. The record is from RefSeq and is a predicted model, not a curated record. The transcript has 2 exons. NCBI's taxonomy places the organism in Eukaryota, Metazoa, Chordata, Actinopteri, Pleuronectiformes, Soleidae.